Molecule: long non-coding RNA, 513 nt
Organism: Schistocerca piceifrons (Central American locust)
Lineage: Eukaryota; Metazoa; Arthropoda; Insecta; Orthoptera; Acrididae
Exons: 4
Source: RefSeq, a predicted model, not a curated record
AGGAUAUGCGGUUCAACAUUGAUUUUGUUUGUUAGGAAAUGCGUAUUGGUCCCAAAUUAAUAUACAUGGUUAGUUACUUAGUAACGUUUCUGGGACUUGUGUUUAUGAUAGUGAUGGUUGUGAUUAUAGUUUUGAGCCGCUUAGAAAGAAAGGAAGACUUUGAAGCCAAUGUUGCGUAAACAUAGGCGUAUUUGUGGUUGCUUUCAGUGCCGCAACGCCUCGUAAUGUUAUUAGAAUCUACCAAAAGAGUGCAACUUUGAGCUGUGACUCAUCGAUGGCUGCCAUAAGAUGGAUGUGGUGAUGGUUUUAACCAGGCAAAGAAUGUUGCUGCAACAUGAGAAAAGUAGUUUGUUUUGCUAGAACAUGUAAAGGAAAAAUGUUAAGGUAAUAUUCUGAAAACAGGAUUUUUUACAGAAUAUAAUUAUAAUUUUCAAUAUGUCCAGUUAAUCUCUUUUUAAAACCAUUAUCUCUAAGAUUAUCUAAGUUAGAAAAUAUUGUGUAUUACCUUACUAA